GUGUCAGCCGCCGCGGUAAUACGAACCGUCCAAACGUUAUUCGGAAUCACUGGGCUUAAAGGGUUUGUAGGCGGCGCUGUUAGUCGGGUGUGAAAGCCCUCGGCUCAACCGAGGAAUUGCGCCCGAUACUGCAGUGCUUGAGGGAGACAGAGGUAAGCGGAACUGAUGGUGGAGCGGUGAAAUGCGUUGAUAUCAUCAGGAACACCGGUGGCGAAAGCGGCUUACUGGGUCUCUUCUGACGCUGAGAAACGAAAGCUAGGGUAGCGAAGGGGAUUAGAUACCCCAGUAGUCC
This 292-nucleotide ribosomal RNA is filed under the name uncultured bacterium. RNAcentral's name for it is "partial 16S ribosomal RNA". It matches the Rfam family "Bacterial small subunit ribosomal RNA", at positions 505 to 796 of the family's 1533-position model. The record is from RNAcentral.